This 245-nucleotide ribosomal RNA is filed under the name uncultured phototrophic eukaryote. RNAcentral describes it as "partial 16S ribosomal RNA". It matches the Rfam family "Bacterial small subunit ribosomal RNA", at positions 439 to 700 of the family's 1533-position model. The record is from RNAcentral.
UCAAGGAAGAAUUUUGACGGUACUUGAGGAAUAAGCAUCGGCUAACUCUGUGCCAGCAGCCGCGGUAAUACAGAGGAUGCAAGCGUUAUCCGGAAUCACUGGGCAUAAAGCGUCUGUAGGUUGCGAAUUAAGUCUGUUGUUAAAGAUCAGGGCCUAACCCUGAGAAAGCAAUGGAAACUAAUACGCUUGAGUGUGGUAGAGGUAGAGGGAAUUCUUAGUGUAGCGGUGAAAUGCGUAGAUAUUAG